RNAcentral lists this ribosomal RNA (243 nucleotides) under Odontoloma sp. 1 HKW-2010. RNAcentral's name for it is "partial 28S ribosomal RNA". It matches the Rfam family "Eukaryotic large subunit ribosomal RNA", at positions 709 to 921 of the family's 3401-position model. The record is from RNAcentral. Lineage: Eukaryota; Metazoa; Arthropoda; Insecta; Coleoptera; Scarabaeidae.
UAAAGGCGCAAUGAAAGUAAAGGUUCGCCUCGCGCGAACCUAGGGAGGAUGGGCGCGUCGCCGUACGCGCCCCGCACUCCCGGGGCGUCUCGUUCUCAUUGCGAGAAGAGGCGCACCUAGAGCGUACACGCUGGGACCCGAAAGAUGGUGAACUAUGCUUGGUCAGGACGAAGUCAGGGGAAACCCUGAUGGAGGUCCGUAGCGAUUCUGACGUGCAAAUCGAUCGUCGGAACUGAGUAUAGG